AUUGAACGCUGGCGGCAUGCUUUACACAUGCAAGUCGAGCGGCAGCGCGGGGGCAACCCUGGCGGCGAGCGGCGAACGGGUGAGUAACACAUCGGAACGUACCCAGGAGUGGGGGAUAGCCCGGCGAAAGCCGGAUUAAUACCGCAUACGAUCUACGGAUGAAAGUGGGGGACCUGAGGGCGACUGAGGGCCUCACGCUUUUGGAGCGGCCGAUGUCCGAUUAGCUAGUGGUGGGGUAAAGGCCUACCAAGGCGACGAUCGGUAGCUGGUCUGAGAGGAUGAUCAGCCACACUGGGACUGAGACACGGCCCAGACUCCUACGGGAGGCAGCAGUGGGAAUUUUGGACAAGUGGGGGAACCCUGAUCCAGCCAUGCCGCGUGC
This 382-nucleotide ribosomal RNA is filed under the name uncultured bacterium. RNAcentral describes it as "bacterial SSU rRNA". It matches the Rfam family "Bacterial small subunit ribosomal RNA", at positions 28 to 404 of the family's 1533-position model. The record is from RNAcentral.